This 776-nucleotide ribosomal RNA is filed under the name uncultured Neocallimastigales. RNAcentral describes it as "partial large subunit ribosomal RNA". It matches the Rfam family "Eukaryotic large subunit ribosomal RNA", at positions 18 to 643 of the family's 3401-position model. Lineage: Eukaryota; Fungi; Neocallimastigomycota; Neocallimastigomycetes; Neocallimastigales. The record is from RNAcentral.
UCAGACGAUGCGUCAUGCAUAUCAAUAAGCGGAGGAAAAGAAACUAACAAGGAUUCCCCUAGUAACGGCGAGUGAAGCGGGAAGAGCUCAAAUUUGAAAUCUUAAAGGGUUUCCCUUUACGAAUUGUAGUUUAAAGAAGUGUUUUCUGUUGAGGUUUUGGUAAAAGUUCUUUGGAAUAGGACAUCAUAGAGGGUGAGAAUCCCGUAUUUGACCUUUACUUUCAACUUUGUGAUACACUUUCAAAGAGUCGGAUUGUUUGGGAAUGCAGUCCAAAAUGGGUGGUAAAUUUCAUCUAAAGCUAAAUAUUGGCGAGAGACCGAUAGCGAACAAGUACCGUGAGGGAAAGAUGAAAAGAACUUUGAAAAGAGAGUUAAACAGUACGUGAAAUUGUCAAAAGGGAAGCGUUUGACACCAGUGUUGUUUUUCUGAAAAUCAAUUAAAGAACUGUUUAUGCUAAGCUGUUUAGACUUUAUCAGCUAUACUGUUUAGUUUUGAGCUUUUCUUUAAUGCACUUUUCAGUUAACAAGUCAACAUCAAUUUCUUUUGCUGUAAAAAAGCUUGAGGAAGGUGGCUUGAGAUUCGUCUUAAGUGUUUAUAGCCUCUUGCCUAUGCAGUCGGAGAGAUUGAGGUCUGCAGCGUAGGAUCCUUCGGGGCUAAAUGCAUUUGUGCUAAGUUAUAGCAUUUUAUAGACAACUUGUUGACUAUGAUUUGUCUUGUAGCUUACUCGCUUAUGUUAUUUUACCUACGCUUAGGAUGUUGACACACGCGCGUGCUCG